Molecule: long non-coding RNA, 209 nt
Filed under: Gossypium raimondii (Peruvian cotton)
Lineage: Eukaryota; Viridiplantae; Streptophyta; Magnoliopsida; Malvales; Malvaceae
Description: long non-coding RNA (GRAI_LNC002105)
Source: RNAcentral
UCAAAAAAAAAAUCGAAAAAAAAAUUUGAUUGAAAAAAAAACAAAAAAAUUCGAAGUAUAAAAAAAAAGAGUGAAAAGUCUUGUGAGUUUUAUUUUGUUAUUAUUUCUUGUUACUUCCGAGCAUCCAUUCCUUCUACCCUCCAAAAAAAAAAUGCCACACAUACUUUGAUUUUUUAUUUUUCCUUGUUUCAGCCUACCCUAUACACCCU